GUCGAACGCGCAGCAUUCUGUAGCAAUACAGGGUGUGGGCGCGUGGCGAACGGGUGCGUAACACGUGGAUAACCUUCCUUCAGGUGGGGAAUAACCCAGUGAAAAUUGGGCUAAUACCGCAUAACAUGACGAUGCCACAUGGUGUUGUCUUCAAAGCCGCAAGGCGCCAGAAGAGGGAUCCGCGGCCGAUUAGCUUGUUGGCGAGGUAAUGGCUCACCAAGGCAUUGAUCGGUAGCCGGACUGAGAGGUUGGCCGGCCACACUGGAACUGAGACACGGUCCAGACUCCUACGGGAGGCAGCAGUGGGGAAUCUUGCACAAUGGACGAAAGUCUGAUGCAGCAACGCCGCGUGGGGGAUGAAGCUUUUCGGAGUGUAAACCCCUUUCGACCCGGAAGAAUGCCCGCAAGGGUUUGACGGUACGGGUAUAAGAAGCCCCGGCUAACUACGUGCCAGCAGCCGCGGUAAUACGUAGGGGGCCAGCGUUGCUCGGAAUUACUGGGCGUAAAGGGUCCGUAGGCGGUGUGGCAAGUCGGGAGUGAAAUCUCUGGGCUUAACCCAGAGGCUGCUUCCGAAACUGCCAUGCUAGAGUGUGAGAGAGGCGAGUGGAAUUACGGGUGUAGCGGUGAAAUGCGUAGAUAUCCGUAGGAACAUCCGAGGCGAAGGCGGCUCGCUGGAUCACAACUGACGCUGAGGGACGAAAGCUAGGGGAGCAAACAGGAUUAGAUACCCUG
RNAcentral lists this ribosomal RNA (732 nucleotides) under uncultured Acidobacteriota bacterium. Its description in RNAcentral is "bacterial SSU rRNA". It matches the Rfam family "Bacterial small subunit ribosomal RNA", at positions 61 to 789 of the family's 1533-position model. Lineage: Bacteria; Pseudomonadati; Acidobacteriota. The record is from RNAcentral.